UUUUUUAAUUCAUAAUCCUACUGAUAUUGUAGAUGGCGUAUAAGAGAUUUAUUUGGUUGUUUCUUUGUAUUAGCAAUUAAUCAAAGCUUGAUUGCCAUCUUCAUUCAGGAAAUAGAUUUUAAAAAAAAUUAGAAGGUUGACUGGCCUGAUAUAAUUCCUGUCUUCGAUAGGAGUGUUUGAUUUUCGCGACUGAUGUCUGAUCAAAAUCCUUACAUGUUUAAAAAACAGUAG
This is a long non-coding RNA of Hibiscus syriacus, 231 nucleotides long. RefSeq lists it as uncharacterized. The record is from RefSeq and is a predicted model, not a curated record. Lineage: Eukaryota; Viridiplantae; Streptophyta; Magnoliopsida; Malvales; Malvaceae. The transcript is spliced from 2 exons.